UGUUAGCGGCGGACGGGUGAGUAACACGUGGAUAACCUACCUAUAAGACUGGGAUAACUUCGGGAAACCGGAGCUAAUACCGGAUAAUAUUUUGAACCGCAUGGUUCAAAAGUGAAAGACGGUCUUGCUGUCACUUAUAGAUGGAUCCGCGCUGCAUUAGCUAGUUGGUAAGGUAACGGCUUACCAAGGCAACGAUGCAUAGCCGACCUGAGAGGGUGAUCGGCCACACUGGAACUGAGACACGGUCCAGACUCCUACGGGAGGCAGCAGUAGGGAAUCUUCCGCAAUGGGCGAAAGCCUGACGGAGCAACGCCGCGUGAGUGAUGAAGGUCUUCGGAUCGUAAAACUCUGUUAUUAGGGAAGAACAUAUGUGUAAGUAACUGUGCACAUCUUGACGGUACCUAAUCAGAAAGCCACGGCUAACUACGUGCCAGCAGCCGCGGUAAUACGUAGGUGGCAAGCGUUAUCCGGAAUUAUUGGGCGUAAAGCGCGCGUAGGCGGUUUUUUAAGUCUGAUGUGAAAGCCCACGGCUCAACCGUGGAGGGUCAUUGGAAACUGGAAAACUUGAGUGCAGAAGAGGAAAGUGGAAUUCCAUGUGUAGCGGUGAAAUGCGCAGAGAUAUGGAGGAACACCAGUGGCGAAGGCGACUUUCUGGUCUGUAACUGACGCUGAUGUGCGAAAGCGUGGGGAUCAAACAGGAUUAGAUACCCUGGUAGUCCACGCCGUAAACGAUGAGUGCUAGGUGUUGGGUCCUUUCCGGGACUCAGUGCCGCAGCUAACGCAUUAAGCACUCCGCCUGGGGAGUACGACCGCAAGGUUGAAACUCAAAGGAAUUGACGGG
Molecule: ribosomal RNA, 841 nt
Filed under: uncultured bacterium
Lineage: Bacteria
Description: bacterial SSU rRNA
Rfam family: Bacterial small subunit ribosomal RNA
Source: RNAcentral